CGUAAGCCCGGGGAAAGCACAGCCUGGAGAGACAGAGCCGUGGCAAGCCGAGAGAGGCGAGGACAACUGGAAAACCUGACAAGAAACAUCAAAAGAGAAAUAUGAAGCUGAGAUUUGAAAAGGUUCAUUCAGGACCAUCAGGACCAGAACUUGGUGAAGUAAUGUACAACUGUAGAGUGGUGAAGAGUUGAAUCACUCGUAUACAGAUACUGUGGAGACUUUUAUAUAUAUUUUGUACAGAAAAAGGCCUUGCCUGCCCUUUCCAUUGCAGCAAAGUGGGACUUUGAUCAGAUGUGCAAGAAAUAAAGGCUGAGAUGGGGAGAAUUUCAGAUGUCCUGUCAAUGAAGGGAGAAGCCUUUGGUCAUUCCAGUGGUUCAUCCAACUUCUGUGGCUACCUUGAUAUGUUCUUACUUUUUUGCUGAUGUCCAUUUCUUCUGUUGUAAGCAUCCUCCAAGGGUCAGGUUUGGUGACUACCAGACUACAAGGCCAUGGCUGGCUUGUAAAUUUGUCAUGAAGAAGAUGAGAAUUACGCCAGUUCAUCUGAUUGCCAUAUCUACGAUCUGUAGAUCCUGGGGUAGUGUAUUCUAGUAUCUGGGCAUAUGCAGGUGGAUAUGACAGACAGACUCGUGAGACAGGGGAGGAUUGGCUUAAAAAACAGAUAAAACAUUUGCGGUUACUAUGGAAACACAUCUCUCUCUUGGGCCUUCUGCAUACCAGCACAAAGUUUCUUUCUGAGGCCUUCUAUAGAUCUAAUCUCCUUUUCCUACUAGCGUAAACCACAAUGAUUUCAUUCACAGUAUGUAACUUUGCUGACACCAAUAGGUGUUUUCUACAGUCCAUCUUCUAUAGGUAUUGUUAAUCCAUGCUACUUGCAACCUGACUGAUGUUGAUUUUAAGGAAGUGUAGGUACGUUUCAGGAAAUGUAACAAACCACACAAAAAACAUAUGAGGCAAAUGUAUGUCAAGUGUGUGAAAUGGGCUGUUUCUGGUAGUCUGUGGAUUAUUCUUCUGUUUUCUUUAC
Long non-coding RNA from Cygnus atratus (black swan), 1021 nucleotides. RefSeq lists it as uncharacterized. The record is from RefSeq and is a predicted model, not a curated record. The transcript has 3 exons. Lineage: Eukaryota; Metazoa; Chordata; Aves; Anseriformes; Anatidae.